RNAcentral lists this long non-coding RNA (353 nucleotides) under Prunus persica (peach). Its description in RNAcentral is "long non-coding RNA (PPER_LNC008001)". The record is from RNAcentral. Lineage: Eukaryota; Viridiplantae; Streptophyta; Magnoliopsida; Rosales; Rosaceae.
UGCAAUGGUAAUCGAAGCCCAUGUUUAAGGGCAUUCAUAAAAAUAAACACUUGGUUACUCAAAAAUUCAGUAGGCCCAGGAAUCCUCCACUUCACUGUAUCCGGAAUUAGAAAUUCGGCAUGAUACCCUAUGUGCUCUCUUUCCGUAACCUUGUCCAAAUCAAAGUAAUCAACCCCCAACCAUGUCCCUUUCAGCAUGAUACCCCAUGAGCUCCCUUUCCGUAAUCCUCCCCUUUGUCCAGCUUGGAUUUCUCCAUGUCCUGGCAUUCCAGCUAUCUCUUGGCAUGGCCAUGCCAGUCCUGGUGGAGGUCCAAAAGGGAGGUCUAGCUGCUGGACCACAACAUCUGGGUUUUG